This 67-nucleotide transfer RNA is filed under the name Acropora cervicornis. RNAcentral's name for it is "tRNA-OTHER". It matches the Rfam family "tRNA". From Rfam's summary of the family: Transfer RNA (tRNA) molecules are approximately 80 nucleotides in length. Lineage: Eukaryota; Metazoa; Cnidaria; Anthozoa; Scleractinia; Acroporidae. The record is from RNAcentral.
GGCUUCAUAGCUCAGUUGGUGAGAGCGUCACAUCGCGAGGUCACGGGUUCAAACCCCGUUGAAGUCC